RNAcentral lists this ribosomal RNA (253 nucleotides) under uncultured bacterium. Its description in RNAcentral is "partial 16S ribosomal RNA". It matches the Rfam family "Bacterial small subunit ribosomal RNA", at positions 524 to 776 of the family's 1533-position model. The record is from RNAcentral.
UACGUAGGGAGCAAGCGUUGUCCGGAAUCAUUGGGCGUAAAGCGCGCGUAGGCGGCCCUGUAAGUCCGUUGUGAAAGUCAAAGGCUCAACCUUUGAAAGCCGAUGGAUACUGCAGGGCUAGAGUCCGGAAGAGGCGAGUGGAAUUCCUGGUGUAGCGGUGGAAUGCGCAGAUAUCAGGAGGAACACCAAUAGCGAAGGCAGCUCGCUGGGACGGUACUGACGCUAAGGCGCGAAAGCUAGGGGAGCAAACAGG